UACGUAGGGUCCGAGCGUUGUCCGGAAUUACUGGGCGUAAAGCGCGCGCAGGCGGCCCGCGAGGUGUCACGUGAAAGCCCCGGGCUCAACCCGGGAGGGUCGUGGCAAACCGGCGGGCUUGAGGCCGGUAGAGGUGGGUGGAACUCCUGGUGGAGUGGUGAAAUGCGUAGAGAUCAGGAAGAACGCCCGUGGCGAAGGCGGCCCACUGGGCCGGUACUGACGCUGAGGCGCGAAGGCGUGGGGAGCGAUCCGG
This 253-nucleotide ribosomal RNA is filed under the name uncultured bacterium. Its description in RNAcentral is "partial 16S ribosomal RNA". It matches the Rfam family "Bacterial small subunit ribosomal RNA", at positions 524 to 776 of the family's 1533-position model. The record is from RNAcentral.